UGGAGCUUGGUGCUGGGGAGAGGUGGCGAGACAGGGCAUCCCUCCUGUGCCAGCCUCCCUUGGCCCCAGCCUGCAGCAGGGGAAUGAAUGCCUGGAGCCCACAGAUCAGAUCUCGCUGCCCUCUCCCACCCCUCACCGGCCUGCACCUCCCUGGACCGGGCAGAUCCACUCUCACAUCCAGCUGUGGCCCAGAGAGCAUCUUACGUGGGUGAACGUUAUCCCCUUCUGCCUUUUCCCAGCAGUUCUCUCCCCCAGGCCUCUCCUGCCACACACUGUGGGCUAUCUCAGG
RNAcentral lists this long non-coding RNA (289 nucleotides) under Gallus gallus (chicken). The record is from RNAcentral. Lineage: Eukaryota; Metazoa; Chordata; Aves; Galliformes; Phasianidae.